GCUACUAUAGUUUAAUGGUUGAACGGUUGUUUCGUAAGCAACAGGUUCCAGUUCGAUUCUGGGUAGUAGCUCCA
Molecule: transfer RNA, 74 nt
Filed under: Caudoviricetes sp.
Lineage: Duplodnaviria; Heunggongvirae; Uroviricota; Caudoviricetes
Description: tRNA-Thr
Rfam family: tRNA
About the family: Transfer RNA (tRNA) molecules are approximately 80 nucleotides in length. Their secondary structure includes four short double-helical elements and three loops (D, anti-codon, and T loops). Further hydrogen bonds mediate the characteristic L-shaped molecular structure. tRNAs have two regions of fundamental functional importance: the anti-codon, which is responsible for specific mRNA codon recognition, and the 3' end, to which the tRNAs corresponding amino acid is attached (by aminoacyl-tRNA synthetases). tRNAs cope with the degeneracy of the genetic code in two manners: having more than one tRNA (with a specific anti-codon) for a particular amino acid; and 'wobble' base-pairing, i.e. permitting non-standard base-pairing at the 3rd anti-codon position.
Source: RNAcentral